AUGUUUGGCAUCAACGAAGCAAGGCUUGCUGCCUUGGAGCAUACAAAAUCAUCAGAGGUGGACCUCCAUCAGUUGAUUACCAGCAAGGAUGUGGACCUUAGGGUGAUCGCCAUGUGGGGAACCAGCGGUGAUAUCGGGAAGACGUCUGCUAUCCAGGAGGUUUAUGAUGACCCAAAGGUACUGAAAAGGUUUGGAUUCUGUGCUUGGAUUAGGUUGAUGCAUCCUUUCAGUCCACAAGAGUUCCUCAGGAGCUUGUUAUGGCAAUUUUAUGAAAAUUACCAUGAUGGGGUUGGAAAGCCCAAACAAGAAACAAGUGUCGGGGUUAAUAUUCUGGCCAACAUGGAGAAGUUGGAUCAAAGAGAUUUAGUCUGUAUGUUUAAUGCGCAGUUGUGUAGCAAUAGCUACUUAGUUGUCAUAAAUGACCUGGUCACAAUAGAAGAGUGGCGUUGCAUCAAGAAGUACUUUCCUGACAACAAAAAGCAAAGUAGAAUCAUCAUUUCUACGCAGCAAGCUGAGAUUGCAAGCUUGUGCACGGAGAAACCGUACCAAGUUUCGGAGUUGAAGCAGUUGUCAUGUGAUCAAACAAUUUAUUUGUUCCACAAGAAGAGUUCAGAACAGCAGAUCAGCAUGGCGAUGUAUGAUACCAACGACGAAGCAAGGCUUGCUGCAGUGGAGGAGAAACCAGAGGCUAUGAGUGCAUCGUGUUCUAUCGAGCCUGUUUCCGAGUCAAACAAAGUUACUACUUCCGAGAAAAGUGCAUCGAUUCCCGCCGGUGAAAUACAGGAGGAAGACCAAAAACCUAACAAUGCAGGUCAAGACAAAGUUUAUAACUCAACUGCUAGAAAGAAGUUUGAUCGCAGCAGGACACUGGCACUGGCUGAUGAACUGCUCUGUGGGCGAGAAACAGAGAAAUCUAUUCUUAUCAAGUUAAUUGGCCAACCAGACCACAAUCAUGGCCGUAAGGUGAUCUCAGUUUGGGGAAUGGGGGGCCUUGGGAAAACCACUCUUGUCCGAAGCAUCUACCGAAACCAAGAGCUUGGUGGCUGGAAGCGUGCUUGGGCAACUGCAUUGCGUCCUUUUAACCCUGAAGUACUCCUUAGAAAUUUGGCUUUGCAGCUUCAGAAUACUAUUCAAGAAGAUCCUGCUGGAGCAACAUCAACGGGAUUGCAAAAGAAAAGCAUAACAGUGAUGAAUCUUCAAGAGUUGAAGCAAGAGCUAGCUCGGCUACUAACAGUAAAAAAGUGUCUUAUUGUUCUUGAUGAUAUAUCGUCCACUUUUGAAUGGGAGUUGGUCAAACAGUGUUUAGAUAAUGCUGAGCGGAUCAUAGUCACCACAAGAGAGAAAAAUAUCGCCAAAUAUUGUUCAAGAGAAGACAUGAACAUGUACUCUCUUCAAGUUCUGAAAUAUGAUGUGGCACUUGACCUGUUCAUAAAGAAGGUAUUUAAAGACAAUAUGGUAAAAAAUGAUUUAGCCCCAGCUAUGAUGGAGCAAGCAAGAAUUACCCUGCAGAAAUGUGGUGGACUUCCCCUUGCAAUAGCAACCAUCGGUGGAUUCCUAGCCACUAAGCCAAAAACUGCUAUUGAAUGGCGAAAGAUGAAUGAGUGUAUUAGCACUGAACUGGAGAUAAAUCCUGAACUUAUGACAAUAAAGUCAAUUCUUAUGAGUAGCUACGAUGGCCUUCCAUACCAUCUCAAGUCUGCUUUCUUGUACCUGUCCAUAUUUCCAGAAGACCACAGAAUUAGGUGGGGUCACUUGAUGAGGCGGUGGAUUGCAGAGGGUUACUCAAGGGAUAUACAUGGCAUGACUGCAGUUGAACUUUGUCACAGGUACUUUGAUGAGCUCUUGGAUAGGAGUAUGAUCCUGCCAGGGGAAGGGAUAGACCAAUAUAAGCAGAAAAUCAGUUCUUGCCAACUUCAUGAUAUGAUCCGUGAAAUAUGCAUCUCAAAGGCUAGGGAGGAAAAUCUUGUUUUCACGCUGGAGGAAGGAUGUUGUUUGAGCGACACACAAGGUGCAAUACGCCACCUUGUCAUAGGCAGCAACUGGAAAAGGGACAAAGAUGUGCUGGAGAGCAUGUUAGACUUGUCAUAUGUACGGUCAUUCACCGUGUUUGGAGAGUGGAGAUCAUUUUUAAUCUCCGACAAUAUGAGGUUCCUCCGAGUCCUUGACUUGGAAGACACACUAGAGUUAAAAGAUCAUCAUCUUGAUGAAAUCGGGCAGUUCCGUCAUCUUAAGUAUCUUUCUCUUCGAGGAUGCCAGAACAUUUUUUACCUGCCUAAUUCUAUGUGGAAUUUGAGGCACCUUGAAACACUGGAUGUUAGAGGUACACGUGUAUAUGAGUUGCCAACAACAAUCACCAAUCUUUGGAAGCUACAACACCUUCGGACAGAUGGUUAUUGGGACCGUGAACGUGGUGUCAAGAAAGAGGAUGACAUAGUUCGUAAGUAUGAACGUUACAUUGAUUGUAUUUCCACAUGUCAAACAUGCAGUGUUUUCUUGAGACCACAAGUUUUAGAUGCUGGUUUGAACAGAUAUGAUAUAUUCAAUCUUUACCGCUUCCAGGAGAGGCAACUAGAUGGGGUUAUACAUCCUAAAGGGAUUGGCAAAUUGAAGGCCCUUCACUCACUGGGUGUUGUUGAUGUUUCCGGGAGAAAUGGAAAUGUCACUGUAAAAGAGUUUGGAGAGCUUACUCAGUUAUGUAAGCUUAAAGUUGGUGGUCUGAGCUACAGAAACAUCAAUGAGUUAUGGUCUGCCAUUGCUGGUCAUAAUCAACUUCAAUCUUUAUCAGCUGAAAUAGGUGACCCACAUGAAGAGAGGAAUGAGUUAGAUGGCUGUUUGGGUGAAGGUUUGUUACCACCAAGCAGCGUCGAGAGCCUCUCCCUGGAUGGUAAGCUAGUCAAUGUAACAGAAUGGAUCCAUAAGCUUCAGAAUCUCACCAAGUUGGUGCUAAGGAAUAGCAGAUUGGAGCAAGAUGAUGCAAUACAAGCCCUCGGGGUACUACCAAAUAUAGCAGUUCUACGCCUGAGGACUAAUUCGUUUACAGGGACUCAGCUCCAUUUCCAAAGGUCAUCUUUCCCUAGCCUCAUGGUGCUGACGCUCGGUUUUUUAGACAACCUCAAGUCAGUGUUGUUUGAAGAAGACGCAAUGCCUAAGCUCCAGCUGCUACAAGUUGGCUGGUGCUCAAAGGUGAAGGACAUCUCCGGGCUGCCAUCCCUCACAAGCCUCAAGGAAAUUCAGUUGGGUAGUCAUUAUCUCAGUGAAACAUUGAAGGAACCAGUGCAGAGGCAGGUAGCGGAGCAUAUGAAUCACGUCAAAGUGAAUAUUGUUGACUAA
Molecule: ribosomal RNA, 3330 nt
Filed under: Triticum aestivum (bread wheat)
Lineage: Eukaryota; Viridiplantae; Streptophyta; Magnoliopsida; Poales; Poaceae
Description: partial small subunit ribosomal RNA
Source: RNAcentral